CAGACCUCCUCGCCGGGAAAGCAGUGAUCUGUGAGGCUGAGUCUGGGAAUCCCCCUCUCCAGAAGAAAUGAGAUGCAGCCGCUCUCCAGGUGCUUAGGAGGAGCUGUGGGGUCUCAGCGGAGGAACUUCACCAAAGACAGUCAAUGCAGAGCCGAUACGUCCUGGCUAAACUGGAUCUCCGUGGCAGGCGGCCCCGCCUGGCCUGGCUUUCGGGGAGACAUUUCCUGCUGCAUCCUGCAGAGAACACCCUGCGGUCCUCAGGUUCCUGACUUCCUUAGUCUUCUCGGGGCCUAAGGUUUCCUGAGUUCAAGUUCAAGUUCAUAUCUGAAGGGGUCUGACAGGCGCCAGGCCAGAAUCCUGGAUAACUGGCACCCCAAUGACCACUCGGCUGUCUCUGGAAACUUCUCCAUGGGUCUGGACCCCCU
This 425-nucleotide long non-coding RNA is filed under the name Homo sapiens (human). Its description in RNAcentral is "long non-coding RNA NONHSAT211418". The record is from RNAcentral. Lineage: Eukaryota; Metazoa; Chordata; Mammalia; Primates; Hominidae.